GAUGAACGCUGGCGGCGUGCCUAAUACAUGCAAGUCGAGCGAACGGACGAGAAGCUUGCUUCUCUGAUGUUAGCGGCGGACGGGUGAGUAACACGUGGAUAACCUACCUAUAAGACUGGGAUAACUUCGGGAAACCGGAGCUAAUACCGGAUGAUAUUUUGAACCGCAUGGUUCAAAAGUGAAAGACGGUCUUGCUGUCACUUAUAGAUGGAUCCGCGCUGCAUUAGCUAGUUGGUAAGGUAACGGCUUACCAAGGCAACGAUGCAUAGCCGACCUGAGAGGGUGAUCGGCCACACUGGAACUGAGACACGGUCCAGACUCCUACGGGAGGCAGCAGUAGGGAAUCUUCCGCAAUGGGCGAAAGCCGGACGGAGCAACGCCGCGUGAGUGAUGAAGGUCUUCGGAUCGUAAAACUCUGUUAUUAGGGAAGAACAUAUGUGUAAGUAACUGUGCACAUCUUGACGGUACCUAAUCAGAAAGCCACGGCUAACUACGUG
RNAcentral lists this ribosomal RNA (497 nucleotides) under uncultured bacterium. RNAcentral describes it as "partial 16S ribosomal RNA". It matches the Rfam family "Bacterial small subunit ribosomal RNA", at positions 28 to 507 of the family's 1533-position model. The record is from RNAcentral.